Molecule: RNA transcript, 2211 nt
Organism: Mus musculus (house mouse)
Lineage: Eukaryota; Metazoa; Chordata; Mammalia; Rodentia; Muridae
Gene: Pparg
Gene name: peroxisome proliferator activated receptor gamma
Exons: 8
Source: RefSeq, marked validated
AAUCUCUGCUCUGGUAAUUCCAACUACUGUACAGUUCACGCCCCUCACAGAACAGUGAAUGUGUGGGUCACUGGCGAGACAAUGUAGCAACGUUUUCCUUGUAAUGUACCAAGUCUUGCCAAAGCAGCAGACAGCAUUAUGACACACCAUUUUGUCACAACUGGCUCUCAGUCAGGACAGUGCCAGCCAAUUCAGGCCUGAUUCUUUCUGUGUUUAUUCCCACCUCUCCCAAAUAUUUGAAAACUGGUGUCUUGACUUAUUAGCAUAUUCAUAAGCUCGAUGACCAUAAGCCUUUUUCCUUUAACCAACCAAUCUUUUGCAAGACAUAGACAAAACACCAGUGUGAAUUACAGCAAAUCUCUGUUUUAUGCUGUUAUGGGUGAAACUCUGGGAGAUUCUCCUGUUGACCCAGAGCAUGGUGCCUUCGCUGAUGCACUGCCUAUGAGCACUUCACAAGAAAUUACCAUGGUUGACACAGAGAUGCCAUUCUGGCCCACCAACUUCGGAAUCAGCUCUGUGGACCUCUCCGUGAUGGAAGACCACUCGCAUUCCUUUGACAUCAAGCCCUUUACCACAGUUGAUUUCUCCAGCAUUUCUGCUCCACACUAUGAAGACAUUCCAUUCACAAGAGCUGACCCAAUGGUUGCUGAUUACAAAUAUGACCUGAAGCUCCAAGAAUACCAAAGUGCGAUCAAAGUAGAACCUGCAUCUCCACCUUAUUAUUCUGAAAAGACCCAGCUCUACAACAGGCCUCAUGAAGAACCUUCUAACUCCCUCAUGGCCAUUGAGUGCCGAGUCUGUGGGGAUAAAGCAUCAGGCUUCCACUAUGGAGUUCAUGCUUGUGAAGGAUGCAAGGGUUUUUUCCGAAGAACCAUCCGAUUGAAGCUUAUUUAUGAUAGGUGUGAUCUUAACUGCCGGAUCCACAAAAAAAGUAGAAAUAAAUGUCAGUACUGUCGGUUUCAGAAGUGCCUUGCUGUGGGGAUGUCUCACAAUGGAGAUCAGAACCAGGGCUUUGUGCAUACUAAGUGUGCACUUUACCACUGUGCUACACCCAGCUCCCAUCUUUAUUUUCUUUUGCUUUCAUCUCUCGAAAAACUGAUCUGCCAUCAGGUUUGGGCGGAUGCCACAGGCCGAGAAGGAGAAGCUGUUGGCGGAGAUCUCCAGUGAUAUCGACCAGCUGAACCCAGAGUCUGCUGAUCUGCGAGCCCUGGCAAAGCAUUUGUAUGACUCAUACAUAAAGUCCUUCCCGCUGACCAAAGCCAAGGCGAGGGCGAUCUUGACAGGAAAGACAACGGACAAAUCACCAUUUGUCAUCUACGACAUGAAUUCCUUAAUGAUGGGAGAAGAUAAAAUCAAGUUCAAACAUAUCACCCCCCUGCAGGAGCAGAGCAAAGAGGUGGCCAUCCGAAUUUUUCAAGGGUGCCAGUUUCGAUCCGUAGAAGCCGUGCAAGAGAUCACAGAGUAUGCCAAAAAUAUCCCUGGUUUCAUUAACCUUGAUUUGAAUGACCAAGUGACUCUGCUCAAGUAUGGUGUCCAUGAGAUCAUCUACACGAUGCUGGCCUCCCUGAUGAAUAAAGAUGGAGUCCUCAUCUCAGAGGGCCAAGGAUUCAUGACCAGGGAGUUCCUCAAAAGCCUGCGGAAGCCCUUUGGUGACUUUAUGGAGCCUAAGUUUGAGUUUGCUGUGAAGUUCAAUGCACUGGAAUUAGAUGACAGUGACUUGGCUAUAUUUAUAGCUGUCAUUAUUCUCAGUGGAGACCGCCCAGGCUUGCUGAACGUGAAGCCCAUCGAGGACAUCCAAGACAACCUGCUGCAGGCCCUGGAACUGCAGCUCAAGCUGAAUCACCCAGAGUCCUCUCAGCUGUUCGCCAAGGUGCUCCAGAAGAUGACAGACCUCAGGCAGAUCGUCACAGAGCACGUGCAGCUACUGCAUGUGAUCAAGAAGACAGAGACAGACAUGAGCCUUCACCCCCUGCUCCAGGAGAUCUACAAGGACUUGUAUUAGCAGGAAAGUCCCACCCGCUGACAACGUGUUCCUUCUAUUGAUUGCACUAUUAUUUUGAGGGAAAAAAAUCUGACACCUAAGAAAUUUACUGUGAAAAAGCAUUUAAAAACAAAAAGUUUUAGAACAUGAUCUAUUUUAUGCAUAUUGUUUAUAAAGAUACAUUUACAAUUUACUUUUAAUAUUAAAAAUUACCACAUUAUAAAAUUGUU